GGACAGAUGGGUGAGUGGCUGAAACCACUUCCCUGCUAAGGAAGCGAACUCGCAAGGGUUCCGAGGGUUCAAAUCCCUCUCUGUCCG
Molecule: transfer RNA, 87 nt
Filed under: Thiovulum sp. ES
Lineage: Bacteria; Pseudomonadati; Campylobacterota; Epsilonproteobacteria; Campylobacterales; Sulfurimonadaceae
Rfam family: tRNA
About the family: Transfer RNA (tRNA) molecules are approximately 80 nucleotides in length. Their secondary structure includes four short double-helical elements and three loops (D, anti-codon, and T loops).
Source: Rfam by way of RNAcentral